Molecule: ribosomal RNA, 200 nt
Filed under: uncultured bacterium
Lineage: Bacteria
Description: partial 16S ribosomal RNA
Rfam family: Bacterial small subunit ribosomal RNA
Source: RNAcentral
AGAGUUUGAUCCUGGCUCAGAAUCAACGCUGGCGGCGUGCCUAACACAUGCAAGUCGAACGAGAAAGCGGGGGCAACUCCGUGAGUAAAGUGGCGACCGGGUGAGUAACACGUAGCUAACCUACCCUCGAGUGGGGGAUAACCUGGGGAAACCUGGGCUAAUACCGCAUAACAUCCUGAGAACGUGAGUUAUUGGGAGCA